RNAcentral lists this transfer RNA (73 nucleotides) under Planctomycetes bacterium RBG_16_64_10. RNAcentral's name for it is "tRNA-Met". It matches the Rfam family "tRNA". Rfam says of the family: Transfer RNA (tRNA) molecules are approximately 80 nucleotides in length. Their secondary structure includes four short double-helical elements and three loops (D, anti-codon, and T loops). Lineage: Bacteria; Pseudomonadati; Planctomycetota. The record is from RNAcentral. RNAcentral also lists the same sequence under 1 other name.
GGGCCCGUAGCUCAGUGGUUAGAGCAGGGGACUCAUAAUCCCUUGGUCGGGGGUUCGAAUCCCUCCGGGCCUA